UGGAAACUUCAUGACUCCUUCGUUUUCCUCAAUAAGUACCUCAACGAUAUGCAGGGAUCCUUUGUACAUGGAAUGAUGCCUCACUUCUUCUUUUCGUUCUGCAACUUCAAUUUUCUGACCCGAAGAUGUUGUAAACAUAUCACAAACAACAUUCUUGGACACUCUUAUUCAAAUAAAAAUGAGAGCGUGUACGAGGUUAUUCUUCACAACGGAUUGACUGGCUCUUCUCUCAAAACAGCUAGGCACUACAUACAACUUCAUGAAUCAGGAGGUCAAUUUCAAAGAUUUGAUUACGGCAAUGAGCAGUUAAAUUUGGAGCACUACGGACAACCAGGCCGCCGCACUACGAUGUGUCAAAAACAAGCAUUCCUGUCCACAUAUUUUAUGGUGCAACUGAUAUAGUUUGCCCAGAGCAGGAUAUAAUGUUGUUGAAGAAGGCUAUAACAGGUCCUACGGAUUUAACGCUAGUAGAAGAGCCAAAUUUCAACCAUGGCGACUUCUUCAUGAGCAACGAAGCAAAAACAGCUUUAAAUCCCAAAGUUCUGGAAAAAGUACGGGUCAUAAACGAGCUGCAUAGUAAAAGUAAAGUAUCCGUUCCUCCGGUAGAAACUAAUGCCGCUGAUUCGCAACUGCCCGAUCAGAAGGAGAACGUAUAAGCAAACAUGGAAAAACGGCAAAAAAGAGAGAAAAGAAUGAUUGCCACAAAAAGUGGAAUCACUAACAUCUAGAACUCUGAACCAGGCUCCAAAUAUUCUCUACAAGGAUAAAUUGAGCUCAUUGUUAGAUCUGUUUUUUAUAAACAAAAAUCAUAUUGCUCUCUAAGUUUAUAUGAAGAACAAAAGAUAUCGUAGAUUUCGAUCCAGUAUUGGAAUUCUCCAUUUCCUCAUCAAAAUUCCCUUAUAAUACGAUCAGGAUUAAUGUUUGAGGGUGACUCACACCUGAAAACCACAAACAUUUUAUUUUUUGUAGUUUAAUAAAGCUAACAACAGUAAAUCAAAAUUAUCGUAGUGCAUAAACUGCAUCUUCAAACUCUCACUAAUAGAAUGUAAGUGCCAAUAUUGCCACCGAAUUAAAAAUAAAUUAUUUCUAGAAACCUACUUUGUCAGGGAAUUUAGAUCCCAACCAAAUCUUGAAUAUUUGUAUCCAGCAGGAAAGUAGCAUUAAUUCUUCCGAAUAAACUAUGUCUGUUUUCUUUUUGAUUGAUUUGUUUGUUAUGUAACAAACUUGCAGAAAUAAUAAUGGUCGAUUAUCACUCAUCAUAGGACCGAUCUCAAAAGUACGAAUAAAAUGUUCGUUAGUGAUCCUACAUCACAAUGCAAUGUAAAGACGCAGGUGUGAAAAAAUUAAUUGUGAACUUGUUUCAUUACGAUUCAAAAUUUUCGAAUAAAAGCUUUAUUUGCAGACAUCACAUUCAUCUGUCAUUUGAAAAAUCGCGUGAAACGUGAAUUUGAAAACGAGUGAAACCAGAUUACGUUACUCGAGUGUUCCUGCUUCCUGCAAGCAAAAACCGUCCGAUUCUCGAAGAAUGAACAAUACUUUCUUUUAACGUGUAUGUGCAUGUGAUAUGUAAAAGAUAUUUUUUUUCUAGUCAUGUGUUUUAAUAAACCAAUUGUGUCCCGUUUUCAAAUCCUAUAGUCUUUUAUUUUUCUGGAAGGGAACUGAUACCCGCUGAGUCCUAUUUUCAAAUAUAAAUUAAUAUUUUUGGAUUCUGGAUACUACUUGGAUUCAAAUUCAAAUCAUUCAAUGGACGACUUUUCAUAAUAAAUCCAUAAAUCAAAUUCUAACUCUUUAAAAUAGACCGUUUUAAAAAGCCGAAUGCAGCGACCUUCUGAAGACAGUAAUCUUUUGCAUACUGCUCCUCUGCUCUCUAUCGAUUUAAAGUAAUUGCCACUGCAUUGUAUUAUCUGACCUGAUUGAGUAGA
This 1922-nucleotide long non-coding RNA is filed under the name Bemisia tabaci. Its description in RNAcentral is "lncRNA ENSSSA3NGG004688". Lineage: Eukaryota; Metazoa; Arthropoda; Insecta; Hemiptera; Aleyrodidae. The record is from RNAcentral.